UUCCAGUGAACUAACUGUGUUACGACUUACCUCUUCUUUAGAAGAGGGUGACGGGCGAUAUGUACACCUAAAUUCAAUUUCAUUCUUAAUUUUUGUUAAAAAACUACUUCCAAAUCCUCUUUCGUUUCCUCUUUAGAAAAAAGUCCUUUAAUUAGUUUAAUAGGUAAUUAGUUUAGUCUUUUCCAUAAUCUUCACCUUGACCUGACUUACGAAAUAUUGUUUAGACAUAACUUUUGAAUUCUAUCUUUAGACGGCGGUAUAAAAGAGAAGGAAAA
Molecule: ribosomal RNA, 275 nt
Filed under: Aptostichus atomarius
Lineage: Eukaryota; Metazoa; Arthropoda; Arachnida; Araneae; Euctenizidae
Description: partial 12S ribosomal RNA
Source: RNAcentral